CAGCUGGGCUUGCUUAGCCAGGCUGAACUCCAGACUUUGGCUUGGGUUGGAAAUUCUCUGUGUCCAUUCCUGUACCCAGGCUGAAGGAGAAAUGACCACUUGGGACAUGCUCAUCUCACGGCACAGGGUGGACACUCCAGGAGGACAGAAAAAAACAUUCAAGCAAAGAAGCUAUUAAGCCAGGGAAGCCCCUGAGCCUGACUGCUGUAGAUCUGGAACCCUUGCAUCUGGGCUGUCACUUGGCAAAUGGUGGAUCCUGGACAACUGGACUGCUUCAAGGACCCUAGCAGAAGAGGAACUCAUGACAUGCCCUGCUGAACAACUGGGAUUUUUCUUUUGAUUAUAGCAAUAGCCUGCUUCCAUUCUUGGACCCGUUAAUCCAUUCUCCACUCUUCAAACAGUGAUCCUUUAAAAACAUCAAUUACAUUAUGUCCCUCUCCCACUGAAGCCCCCGCUCCCCUGGCUGCCACCCCAUGGCCUCCCAUUGUACUUAGAAUAAACUGCAAACUCUGCUCAGAGCUACAGACCCAUGUGUUGGGACUCCUGCCUACCUCUUCAGGCUCAAUUCCUGCCAUUCCCCAACGUAUUCACCAUGCUCCAGACAUACUGGCUUGCUCUCCAUUCUGGAACACACUGAGUACAUCCUUUCCUUUGCAAUUUGUAUCUUCUCACCUGGAUUGAGUGAGCAUGACAUCUUCCUGUGUACCCUCAACGUUUCUUGUAGUUCUAGUUAUCAGAACUAACUUGAAGAGCAGUGGGCUAAGCAGUGACUAGUCAGUAUGGAAUUAGAAACAAGUACAGAAUUGUGACUUAAAAAGGAAGGAGAAUUAUAGAACAGACGAUGAGAGAGAAGUAUGGAGUCAAAAACUCAAUUUUUGCCGUGGAGGAAAGACUUGAGCAUUUUUACGUCUUUGGUGGAGGAGCCAGAAAGGGAAAUACGUAAUGUGAAAGAAAGUGGAGUAACUAAAGAAGUAAAUGCCUUGAGCAUCUUUUAAAUGGAAAAUUCCUUUAAAGAGAUAAAAUAUGUGGUUCUUAAGGAUUCUGGUCCCCACUUGUCUUCCUUUUUGUCCUUUCACUUUAUGAGCUUCUGUACCGUAUUG
This 1100-nucleotide long non-coding RNA is filed under the name Equus caballus (horse). RNAcentral's name for it is "lncRNA (ENSECAG00000044291.1)". Lineage: Eukaryota; Metazoa; Chordata; Mammalia; Perissodactyla; Equidae. The record is from RNAcentral.